CAAUAGCGUAUAUUAAAGUUGUUGCAGUUAAAAAGCUCGUAGUUGGAUUUGUGGCGUACGGUGUGUUCCGGGCACUUGUUGUCUGAGUAACCUGCUGUUGCCAUCCUUGGGUGGAACCUGUGUGGCAUUAGGUUGUCGUGCAGGGGAUGCCCAUCAUUUACUGUGAAAAAAUUAGAGUGUUCAAAGCAGGCUUAUGCCGUUGAAUAUAUUAGCAUGGAAUAAUGAGAUAGGACUUUUUUGCUAUUUUGUUGGUUUGCGCAAAGAGGUAAUGAUUAAUAGGGACAGUUGGGGGUAUUCGUAUUCCAUUGUCAGAGGUGACAUUCUUGGAUUUUUGGAAGACGAACUACUGCGAAAGCAUUUACCAAGGAUGUUUUCAUUAA
RNAcentral lists this ribosomal RNA (380 nucleotides) under uncultured eukaryote. RNAcentral describes it as "partial 18S ribosomal RNA". It matches the Rfam family "Eukaryotic small subunit ribosomal RNA", at positions 592 to 976 of the family's 1831-position model. The record is from RNAcentral.